RNAcentral lists this ribosomal RNA (511 nucleotides) under uncultured bacterium. RNAcentral's name for it is "partial 16S ribosomal RNA". It matches the Rfam family "Bacterial small subunit ribosomal RNA", at positions 356 to 858 of the family's 1533-position model. The record is from RNAcentral.
AGGGAAUCUUCGGCAAUGGGGGCAACCCUGACCGAGCAACGCCGCGUGAGUGAAGAAGGUUUUCGGAUCGUAAAGCUCUGUUGUAAGUCAAGAACGGGUGUGAGAGUGGAAAGUUCACACUGUGACGGUAGCUUACCAGAAAGGGACGGCUAACUACGUGCCAGCAGCCGCGGUAAUACGUAGGUCCCGAGCGUUGUCCGGAUUUAUUGGGCGUAAAGCGAGCGCAGGCGGUUUGAUAAGUCUGAAGUUAAAGGCUGUGGCUCAACCAUAGUUCGCUUUGGAAACUGUCAAACUUGAGUGCAGAAGGGGAGAGUGGAAUUCCAUGUGUAGCGGUAAAAUGCGUAGAUAUAUGGAGGAACACCGGUGGCGAAAGCGGCUCUCUGGUCUGUAACUGACGCUGAGGCUCGAAAGCGUGGGGAGCGAACAGGAUUAGAUACCCUGGUAGUCCACGCCGUAAACGAUGAGUGCUAGGUGUUGGAUCCUUUCCGGGAUUCAGUGCCGCAGCUAACGC